GUGCCAGCCGCCGCGGUAACACGGGGGGAGCAAGCGUUGUUCGGAAUCACUGGGCGUAAAGGGAGUCUAGGCGGUCAGGUAAGUGGGAUGUGAAAUCCCUCGGCUCACCCGAGGACCUGCAUCCCAAACUGCCUGGCUUGAGUAUGGGAGAGGAUGAGGGAAUUCCUGGUGUAGCGGUGAAAUGCGUAGAUAUCAGGAGGAACACCGGUGGCGAAGGCGCUCAUCUGGCCCAAUACUGACGCUGAAGCUCGAAAGCUAGGGGAGCAAACGGGAUUAGAUACCCCCGUAGUCC
RNAcentral lists this ribosomal RNA (292 nucleotides) under uncultured bacterium. RNAcentral's name for it is "partial 16S ribosomal RNA". It matches the Rfam family "Bacterial small subunit ribosomal RNA", at positions 505 to 796 of the family's 1533-position model. The record is from RNAcentral.